ACGGAAGGCAGCAGUGGGGAAUAUUGGGCAAUGGGGGAAACCCUGACCCAGCAACGCCGCGUGAAGGAAGAAGGCCUUCGGGUUGUAAACUUCUUUUACCAGGGACGAUAAUGACGGUACCUGGAGAAAAAGCAACGGCUAACUACGUGCCAGCAGCCGCGGUAAUACGUAGGUUGCAAGCGUUGUCCGGAUUUACUGGGUGUAAAGGGCGUGUAGGCGGAGCUGCAAGUCAGAUGUGAAAUCCCGGGGCUCAACCCCGGAACUGCAUUUGAAACUGUAGCCCUUGAGUAUCGGAGAGGCAAGCGGAAUUCCUAGUGUAGCGGUGAGAUGCGUAGAUAUUAGGAGGAACACCAGUGGCGAAGGCGGCUUGCUGGACGACAACUGACGCUGAGGCGCGAAAGCGUGGGGAGCAAACAGGAUUAGAUACCCUGGUA
This 434-nucleotide ribosomal RNA is filed under the name uncultured Treponema sp. RNAcentral's name for it is "partial 16S ribosomal RNA". It matches the Rfam family "Bacterial small subunit ribosomal RNA", at positions 341 to 792 of the family's 1533-position model. Lineage: Bacteria; Pseudomonadati; Spirochaetota; Spirochaetia; Treponematales; Treponemataceae. The record is from RNAcentral.